Molecule: ribosomal RNA, 1329 nt
Filed under: Apotaspora heleios
Lineage: Eukaryota; Fungi; Microsporidia
Description: SSU rRNA
Rfam family: Microsporidia small subunit ribosomal RNA
Source: RNAcentral
UCACCAGGUUGAUUCUGCCUGACGUGGAUGCUAGUCUCAUAGAUUUAGCCAUGCAUGUGUAAGCGAAGCGUAUAGCGGAGCGGCGGACGGCUCAGUAACAGGCGAGUAUUUGAUCUCCACAAACGGACAACCUCAGGAAACAGAGGGGAAAACGUUGUAAGAGCAUGCGAGGAGCAUGUGAUGAGAACGAGAGUGGUGGAGAGUAAGAAGUCAGCCCAUCAGUUAAUAUGUAGGGUAAGGGCCUACUUAGACGAAGACGGGUACGGGGGAUUAGGGUUUGAUUCCGGAGAGGGAGCCUGAGAGAUGGCUACCAGGUCUAAGGAGCGCAGCAGGCGCGAAAAUUACCGCAGCCCGCAGCGGGGCGGUAGUGAAGAGACGUGAAGACAAGGAUGUGUAGAAAAGAUCUUGGUAACUGGAGGACAAGUCUGGUGCCAGCACCAGCGGUAAUACCAGCUCCAGGAGUGUCUAUGGUGAUUGCUGCGAUUAAAAGGUCCGUAGUCGAAGGGGAAGACCUGUCUGUAAUGGUGUAUAUCGAGUAUGACGAAGGACGGGAAUGAGCCGGGAGAGAGGAGCGACGAGGGGCUAGAUAAUUGUGGAGCGAGAGGUGAAAUUUGAUGACCUUCACAGGAGUAACAGAGGCGAAAGCGCUAGCCAGGGGCGAAUCCGAUGAUCAAGGACGUAGGCCGGGGGAUCGAAAACGAUUAGAGACCGUAGUAGUCCCGGCAGUCAACGAUGCCGACACAGCGGUGCAGAGAUGCACGGGUGAAGAGAAAUCUAGUAGGGCUAUGGGGAGAGUACGCGCGCAAGCAUAAAAUUUAAAGGAAAUUGACGGAAGAGCACCACAAGGAGUGGAGUGUGCGGCUUAAUUUGACUCAACGCGGGACAACUUACCAUUGCCGAUGGCCGGGAGAGUGUGGUACACGAUAGGUCAGAGAGUGGUGCAUGGCCGUUAUCGACUAGUGGGGUGACCUUUUGGUUAAUUCCGGUAAGUAGUGAGAUCCCCGGGUGCGAACGACAGGUGCGAGAAGCACAGGAAGAAGGGGGCAAGAACAGGUCAGUGAUGCCCUUAGAUGGGAUGGGCUGCACGCGCACUACAGUGGUCACGACAGAGAGGAAGAAGAAGUAAAAGUGAUCGAGAGGGAAUGAGCACUGUAAUGUGCACAGGAACGAGGAAUUGCUAGUAAUCGUUGCCUCAUUAAGGAGCGAUGAAUAAGUCCCUGCUCUUUGUACACACCGCCCGUCGUUAUCGAAGAUGGAACCAGGUGCGAACGAGCUGAAGCGAGUGAGUGCAGGGUUCUAGAUCUGAUACAAGUCGUAACAAGGUAACCA